Mytilus californianus (California mussel) is the source of this 599-nucleotide long non-coding RNA. RefSeq lists it as uncharacterized. The record is from RefSeq and is a predicted model, not a curated record. The transcript has 2 exons. Lineage: Eukaryota; Metazoa; Mollusca; Bivalvia; Mytilida; Mytilidae.
UAGUAUGUCAACCAUGAAAGCGGUGUCAUGUCUGCUACAAAGAGACAACAACGUGAACCUCCUUUUAAGGUUUUAGAUGAUUUAAAGAUAAACAGCACGACUGAGAUAAUGUUUGAAAGUAAUAAAGCAGAUAAGGCAAUUAUACCACAAAGUCCAACUCAACUUAAGGCAACAAUGACUAGUCAAGAUGCAGUAAAAAAGCUGACAACUUCCACACAAUUUGGAAACCCAUCAUCAUGCCAGGAUAUAAAUCAGGAAGCAGUCAAUUUUGCAUAUUCGAAAUCUUCAUCUUCUGCACAGAGACGGUACCAAGCAACAACUGAACCCAUAAAGUUCCUAGACGAUGUCAAUGCUUCUACGUUUGACCAGUGGAAUCAAGCUACUUUACAGCUGACUUAUAACAACACAGGUCUUUUUGUGGGAGCAACAAGAUUUCGUACAAACAAACCUAACUCAGACCAAAGUAUAGGUGAGCAAGAUGACUGUACGUUGCUAUCCCCGUAUAGAGCAAUGGAAUGGAUAUAUAUUGAUGCUCUUAGAUAUACGAAACCACAGAUAACCAAAGGGAUAUCAUGAUAAAUAUAAAAAAAUCCAUUAUA